This 433-nucleotide ribosomal RNA is filed under the name uncultured Lachnospiraceae bacterium. RNAcentral describes it as "partial 16S ribosomal RNA". It matches the Rfam family "Bacterial small subunit ribosomal RNA", at positions 341 to 792 of the family's 1533-position model. The record is from RNAcentral. Lineage: Bacteria; Bacillati; Bacillota; Clostridia; Lachnospirales; Lachnospiraceae.
ACGGAAGCAGCAGUGGGGGAUAUUGCACAAUGGGGGAAACCCUGAUGCAGCGACGCCGCGUGAGUGAAGAAGUAUUUCGGUAUGUAAAGCUCUAUCAGCAGGGAAGAUAAUGACGGUACCUGACUAAGAAGCACCGGCUAAAUACGUGCCAGCAGCCGCGGUAAUACGUAUGGUGCAAGCGUUAUCCGGAUUUACUGGGUGUAAAGGGAGCGUAGACGGCAUAGCAAGUCUGAUGUGAAAGCUAUGGGCUCAACCCAUAAACUGCAUUGGAAACUGUUAAGCUAGAGUGUCGGAGAGGUAAGUGGAAUUCCUAGUGUAGCGGUGAAAUGCGUAGAUAUUAGGAGGAACACCAGUGGCGAAGGCGGCUUACUGGACGAUAACUGACGUUGAGGCUCGAAAGCGUGGGGAGCAAACAGGAUUAGAUACCCUGGUA